This is a non-coding RNA of Hordeum vulgare subsp. vulgare (domesticated barley), 125 nucleotides long. NCBI's taxonomy places the organism in Eukaryota, Viridiplantae, Streptophyta, Magnoliopsida, Poales, Poaceae. The record is from Rfam.
UUUCUGUUUCCUCCGUCCGGAAUUACUUGUCGCUCAAAUGUAUAAAAACGGUUGUAUCUAAAUCUAAAAUACAUCUAGAUAUGUCCAUUCCUAUGACAAAUAUUUUCGAACGGAGGGAAUACAAU